This 2903-nucleotide ribosomal RNA is filed under the name Escherichia coli. Its description in RNAcentral is "23S ribosomal RNA". It matches the Rfam family "Bacterial large subunit ribosomal RNA". The record is from RNAcentral. Lineage: Bacteria; Pseudomonadati; Pseudomonadota; Gammaproteobacteria; Enterobacterales; Enterobacteriaceae.
GGUUAAGCGACUAAGCGUACACGGUGGAUGCCCUGGCAGUCAGAGGCGAUGAAGGACGUGCUAAUCUGCGAUAAGCGUCGGUAAGGUGAUAUGAACCGUUAUAACCGGCGAUUUCCGAAUGGGGAAACCCAGUGUGUUUCGACACACUAUCAUUAACUGAAUCCAUAGGUUAAUGAGGCGAACCGGGGGAACUGAAACAUCUAAGUACCCCGAGGAAAAGAAAUCAACCGAGAUUCCCCCAGUAGCGGCGAGCGAACGGGGAGCAGCCCAGAGCCUGAAUCAGUGUGUGUGUUAGUGGAAGCGUCUGGAAAGGCGCGCGAUACAGGGUGACAGCCCCGUACACAAAAAUGCACAUGCUGUGAGCUCGAUGAGUAGGGCGGGACACGUGGUAUCCUGUCUGAAUAUGGGGGGACCAUCCUCCAAGGCUAAAUACUCCUGACUGACCGAUAGUGAACCAGUACCGUGAGGGAAAGGCGAAAAGAACCCCGGCGAGGGGAGUGAAAAAGAACCUGAAACCGUGUACGUACAAGCAGUGGGAGCACGCUUAGGCGUGUGACUGCGUACCUUUUGUAUAAUGGGUCAGCGACUUAUAUUCUGUAGCAAGGUUAACCGAAUAGGGGAGCCGAAGGGAAACCGAGUCUUAACUGGGCGUUAAGUUGCAGGGUAUAGACCCGAAACCCGGUGAUCUAGCCAUGGGCAGGUUGAAGGUUGGGUAACACUAACUGGAGGACCGAACCGACUAAUGUUGAAAAAUUAGCGGAUGACUUGUGGCUGGGGGUGAAAGGCCAAUCAAACCGGGAGAUAGCUGGUUCUCCCCGAAAGCUAUUUAGGUAGCGCCUCGUGAAUUCAUCUCCGGGGGUAGAGCACUGUUUCGGCAAGGGGGUCAUCCCGACUUACCAACCCGAUGCAAACUGCGAAUACCGGAGAAUGUUAUCACGGGAGACACACGGCGGGUGCUAACGUCCGUCGUGAAGAGGGAAACAACCCAGACCGCCAGCUAAGGUCCCAAAGUCAUGGUUAAGUGGGAAACGAUGUGGGAAGGCCCAGACAGCCAGGAUGUUGGCUUAGAAGCAGCCAUCAUUUAAAGAAAGCGUAAUAGCUCACUGGUCGAGUCGGCCUGCGCGGAAGAUGUAACGGGGCUAAACCAUGCACCGAAGCUGCGGCAGCGACACUAUGUGUUGUUGGGUAGGGGAGCGUUCUGUAAGCCUGUGAAGGUGUGCUGUGAGGCAUGCUGGAGGUAUCAGAAGUGCGAAUGCUGACAUAAGUAACGAUAAAGCGGGUGAAAAGCCCGCUCGCCGGAAGACCAAGGGUUCCUGUCCAACGUUAAUCGGGGCAGGGUGAGUCGACCCCUAAGGCGAGGCCGAAAGGCGUAGUCGAUGGGAAACAGGUUAAUAUUCCUGUACUUGGUGUUACUGCGAAGGGGGGACGGAGAAGGCUAUGUUGGCCGGGCGACGGUUGUCCCGGUUUAAGCGUGUAGGCUGGUUUUCCAGGCAAAUCCGGAAAAUCAAGGCUGAGGCGUGAUGACGAGGCACUACGGUGCUGAAGCAACAAAUGCCCUGCUUCCAGGAAAAGCCUCUAAGCAUCAGGUAACAUCAAAUCGUACCCCAAACCGACACAGGUGGUCAGGUAGAGAAUACCAAGGCGCUUGAGAGAACUCGGGUGAAGGAACUAGGCAAAAUGGUGCCGUAACUUCGGGAGAAGGCACGCUGAUAUGUAGGUGAGGUCCCUCGCGGAUGGAGCUGAAAUCAGUCGAAGAUACCAGCUGGCUGCAACUGUUUAUUAAAAACACAGCACUGUGCAAACACGAAAGUGGACGUAUACGGUGUGACGCCUGCCCGGUGCCGGAAGGUUAAUUGAUGGGGUUAGCGCAAGCGAAGCUCUUGAUCGAAGCCCCGGUAAACGGCGGCCGUAACUAUAACGGUCCUAAGGUAGCGAAAUUCCUUGUCGGGUAAGUUCCGACCUGCACGAAUGGCGUAAUGAUGGCCAGGCUGUCUCCACCCGAGACUCAGUGAAAUUGAACUCGCUGUGAAGAUGCAGUGUACCCGCGGCAAGACGGAAAGACCCCGUGAACCUUUACUAUAGCUUGACACUGAACAUUGAGCCUUGAUGUGUAGGAUAGGUGGGAGGCUUAGAAGUGUGGACGCCAGUCUGCAUGGAGCCGACCUUGAAAUACCACCCUUUAAUGUUUGAUGUUCUAACGUUGACCCGUAAUCCGGGUUGCGGACAGUGUCUGGUGGGUAGUUUGACUGGGGCGGUCUCCUCCUAAAGAGUAACGGAGGAGCACGAAGGUUGGCUAAUCCUGGUCGGACAUCAGGAGGUUAGUGCAAUGGCAUAAGCCAGCUUGACUGCGAGCGUGACGGCGCGAGCAGGUGCGAAAGCAGGUCAUAGUGAUCCGGUGGUUCUGAAUGGAAGGGCCAUCGCUCAACGGAUAAAAGGUACUCCGGGGAUAACAGGCUGAUACCGCCCAAGAGUUCAUAUCGACGGCGGUGUUUGGCACCUCGAUGUCGGCUCAUCACAUCCUGGGGCUGAAGUAGGUCCCAAGGGUAUGGCUGUUCGCCAUUUAAAGUGGUACGCGAGCUGGGUUUAGAACGUCGUGAGACAGUUCGGUCCCUAUCUGCCGUGGGCGCUGGAGAACUGAGGGGGGCUGCUCCUAGUACGAGAGGACCGGAGUGGACGCAUCACUGGUGUUCGGGUUGUCAUGCCAAUGGCACUGCCCGGUAGCUAAAUGCGGAAGAGAUAAGUGCUGAAAGCAUCUAAGCACGAAACUUGCCCCGAGAUAAGUUCUCCCUGACCCUUUAAGGGUCCUGAAGGAACGUUGAAGACGACGACGUUGAUAGGCCGGGUGUGUAAGCGCAGCGAUGCGUUGAGCUAACCGGUACUAAUGAACCGUGAGGCUUAACCUU